RNAcentral lists this ribosomal RNA (314 nucleotides) under Enterococcus faecalis. RNAcentral's name for it is "bacterial LSU rRNA". It matches the Rfam family "Bacterial large subunit ribosomal RNA", at positions 1130 to 1446 of the family's 2925-position model. The record is from RNAcentral. Lineage: Bacteria; Bacillati; Bacillota; Bacilli; Lactobacillales; Enterococcaceae.
GUGCGUAAUAGCUCACUAGUCGAGUGACCCUGCGCCGAAAAUGUACCGGGGCUAAACAUAUUACCGAAGCUGUGGACUACACCAUUAGGUGUAGUGGUAGGAGAGCGUUCUAAGGGCGUUGAAGGUCGAUCGUGAGGACGGCUGGAGCGCUUAGAAGUGAGAAUGCCGGUAUGAGUAGCGAAAGACAGGUGAGAAUCCUGUCCACCGUAUGACUAAGGUUUCCUGGGGAAGGCUCGUCCGCCCAGGGUUAGUCGGGACCUAAGCCGAGGCCGAUAGGCGUAGGCGAUGGACAACAGGUUGAUAUUCCUGUACCA